UACGUAGGGUGCAAGCGUUAAUCGGAAUUACUGGGCGUAAAGCGUGCGCAGGCGGUUCUGCAAGUCAGGUGUGAAAUCCCCGGGCUUAACCUGGGAACUGCACUUGUGACUGCACGGCUGGAGUACGGCAGAGGGGGAUGGAAUUCCGCGUGUAGCAGUGAAAUGCGUAGAUAUGCGGAGGAACACCGAUGGCGAAGGCAGUCCCCUGGGCCUGUACUGACGCUCAUGCACGAAAGCGUGGGGAGCAAACAGG
Molecule: ribosomal RNA, 253 nt
Filed under: uncultured bacterium
Lineage: Bacteria
Description: partial 16S ribosomal RNA
Rfam family: Bacterial small subunit ribosomal RNA
Source: RNAcentral